This 726-nucleotide ribosomal RNA is filed under the name uncultured rumen protozoa. RNAcentral describes it as "bacterial SSU rRNA". It matches the Rfam family "Eukaryotic small subunit ribosomal RNA", at positions 965 to 1719 of the family's 1831-position model. The record is from RNAcentral.
UGGUUUCCAUAUCCAGGAACGGAAGUUUAGGAUCAAAGACAAUCAGAAUACGUUCGUAGGUCUAUUCUAUUAAUUAUGCGACUAGGAAUUGAAUGGCAACAUCACAUUCAGUACCUUAUGAGAAAAUCAAAGUCUUUUGGUUCUGGGGGGGAGGUAUGGUCGCAAGACUGAAACUUAAAGAAAUUGACGGAAGGGCGCCGGCGAGGAGUGGAGCUGCGGCUUAAUUUGACUCAACACGGGAAACAUAAACAAAGAUCCAAGACAUAGUAAGGAUUGACAGAUUGAUAGCUCUUUCUUGUUCUAUGGGUGGUUGUGUGGGUGGCCGUUAUUAGUUGGUGGAGUGAUUUGUCUGGUUAAUUCCGAUAACGAACGAGACCUUAACCUGCUAACUAGAUUCUUUUAUCCUAUAAAAGUUAUCUUCUUAGAGGGACUAUGUAAAACAAAUACAUGGAAAGUAUGAGGACAAUAACAGGUCAGUGAUGCCCUUAUAUGUCCUGGGCUGCACGCGUGCUACACUGAUGCAUACAACAAGUGCCUAACCAGACAUGGCAUGGCAAUCUCGAAUAUGCAUCGUGAUAGGGAUAGAUCUUUGCAAUUAUAGAUCUUGAACGAGGAAUUCCUAGUAAGUGCAAGUCAUCAUCUUGCAUUGAUUAUGUCCCUGCCCUUUAACACGCCACCCGUCGCUCCUACCGAUACCGGGUGAUCCGGUGAACCUGUGGACCCUGG